AUGUCAGCGGCGGACGGGUGAGUAACACGUGGGCAACCUGCCUGUAAGACUGGGAUAACUUCGGGAAACCGGAGCUAAUACCGGAUAACUUCGAGCACCUCCUGGUGCUUGGAUAAAAGACGGCGUCUAGCUGUCACUUACAGAUGGGCCCGCGGCGCAUUAGCUAGUUGGUGAGGUAACGGCUCACCAAGGCGACGAUGCGUAGCCGACCUGAGAGGGUGAUCGGCCACACUGGGACUGAGACACGGCCCAGACUCCUACGGGAGGCAGCAGUAGGGAAUCUUCCGCAAUGGACGAAAGUCUGACGGAGCAACGCCGCGUGAGCGAUGAAGGCCUUCGGGUCGUAAAGCUCUGUUGUUAGGGAAGAACAAGUACCAGAGUAACUGCUGGUACCUUGACGGUACCUAACCAGAAAGCCACGGCUAACUACG
This 431-nucleotide ribosomal RNA is filed under the name bacterium gwi31. RNAcentral's name for it is "bacterial SSU rRNA". It matches the Rfam family "Bacterial small subunit ribosomal RNA", at positions 89 to 505 of the family's 1533-position model. The record is from RNAcentral.